RNAcentral lists this ribosomal RNA (505 nucleotides) under uncultured Lactobacillus sp. RNAcentral's name for it is "partial 16S ribosomal RNA". Lineage: Bacteria; Bacillati; Bacillota; Bacilli; Lactobacillales; Lactobacillaceae. The record is from RNAcentral.
CACGUAGUUAGCCGUGACUUUCUGAUUGGAUACCGUCACUGCGUGAACAGUUACUCUCACGCACGUUCUUCUCCAACAACAGAGCUUUACGAGCCGAAACCCUUCUUCACUCACGCGGUGUUGCUCCAUCAGGCUUGCGCCCAUUGUGGAAGAUUCCCUACUGCUGCCUCCCGUAGGAGUAUGGACCGUGUCUCAGUUCCAUUGUGGCCGAUCAGUCUCUCAACUCGGCUAUGCAUCAUCGCCUUGGUAAGCCGUUACCUUACCAACUAGCUAAUGCACCGCGGGCCCAUCCUGAAGUGAUAGCCGAAGCCAUCUUUAGAAACGAAACCAUGUGGUUUCGUUGUUAUGCGGUAUUAGCACCUUGUUUCCAGAUGUUACUCCCCCGCUUCGAGGGCUAGGGUUCGCCCUACGUUCGUUAACUCCACCCCGGUUCCGCCGCUCACGUGGGAACUCCAACGUCAAUUCAGUGACAAGCACGUCAUUAUUAGGUUGGGCCUAGGUCGCG